UCUGUGAUAGAGAUUCUUUGCU
This 22-nucleotide microRNA is filed under the name Homo sapiens (human). RNAcentral's name for it is "hsa-miR-4679". Lineage: Eukaryota; Metazoa; Chordata; Mammalia; Primates; Hominidae. The record is from miRBase by way of RNAcentral.